GCCAAUGUAGCUCAGUCGGUAGAGCAUUUCCAUGGUAAGGAAAAGGUCACCAGUUCGAUUCUGGUCAUUGGCUCAA
Molecule: transfer RNA, 76 nt
Filed under: Candidatus Yonathbacteria bacterium RIFCSPHIGHO2_01_FULL_44_19
Lineage: Bacteria; Candidatus Yonathiibacteriota
Also listed under: 1 other name
Description: tRNA-Thr
Rfam family: tRNA
About the family: Transfer RNA (tRNA) molecules are approximately 80 nucleotides in length.
Source: RNAcentral